RNAcentral lists this ribosomal RNA (465 nucleotides) under uncultured bacterium. RNAcentral's name for it is "partial 16S ribosomal RNA". It matches the Rfam family "Bacterial small subunit ribosomal RNA", at positions 338 to 795 of the family's 1533-position model. The record is from RNAcentral.
CCUACGGGUGGCAGCAGUGGGGAAUAUUGCGCAAUGGGCUAAAGCCUGACGCAGCGACGCCGCGUGAGGGAUGAAGGUCUUCGGAUCGUUAACCUCUGUCUGCAGGGAAGAACGGUCACUGUGCUAAUCAGCAGUGAAUUGACGGUACCUGCAAAGGAAGCACCGGCUAACUCCGUGCCAGCAGCCGCGGUCAUACGGAGGGUGCGAGCGUUGAUCGGAAUUACUGGGCGUAAAGCGCUCGUAGGAGGGAUGUCAAGUCAAGGGUGAAAUCCCCGCGCGCAACGUGGGAACUGCCUUUGAAACUGGCAAACUGGAGUGUGUGAGAGGAUAGUGGAAUUCCAGGUGUAGGAGUGAAAUCCGUAGAUAUCUGGAGGAACAUCAGUGGCGAAGGCGACUAUCUGGCACAUAACUGACGCUGAGGAGCGAAAGCGUGGGUAGCAAACAGGAUUAGAUACCCUAGUAGUC